AGUUUGAUCAUGGCUCAGAACGAACGCUGGCGGCAUGCCUAACACAUGCAAGUCGAACGAAGCCUUCGGGCUUAGUGGCGCACGGGUGUGUAACGCGUGGGAAUCUGCCCUUGGGUUCGGAAUAACAGUUAGAAAUGACUGCUAAUACCGAAUGGUGUCUUCGGACCAAAGAUUUAUCGCCCAAGGAUGAGCCCGCGUCGGAUUAGCUAGUUGGUGAGGUAAAGGCUCACCAAGGCGACGAUCCGUAGCUGGUCUGAGAGGAUGAUCAGCCACACUGGGACUGAGACACGGCCCAGACUCCUACGGGAGGCAGCAGUGGGGAAUAUUGGACAAUGGGCGAAAGCCUGAUCCAGCAAUGCCGCGUGAGUGAUGAAGGCCUUAGGGUUGUAAAGCUCUUUUACCCGGGAUGAUAAUGACAGUACCGGGAGAAUAAGCCCCGGCUAACUCCGUG
Molecule: ribosomal RNA, 451 nt
Filed under: uncultured bacterium
Lineage: Bacteria
Description: bacterial SSU rRNA
Rfam family: Bacterial small subunit ribosomal RNA
Source: RNAcentral